This 79-nucleotide ribosomal RNA is filed under the name Enterobacter hormaechei. RNAcentral describes it as "partial 23S ribosomal RNA". It matches the Rfam family "Bacterial large subunit ribosomal RNA", at positions 2847 to 2925 of the family's 2925-position model. The record is from RNAcentral. RNAcentral also lists the same sequence under 4 other names. Lineage: Bacteria; Pseudomonadati; Pseudomonadota; Gammaproteobacteria; Enterobacterales; Enterobacteriaceae.
AUGACGUUGAUAGGUCGGGUGUGUAAGCGCAGCGAUGCGUUGAGCUAACCGAUACUAAUGAACCGUGAGGCUUAACCUU